CAAACACUGCUUGAGGACACUUUGCCAAAUGCAGUAGUGACAUCUGUUUACAGAGACCAGGGUGGCUGACGGGGAAGGUGACGGCAACUGACACCAGAGGAUGAUACGAGGAAGUCCAGGGGAGAGAGAAGUCUACAGGUCAGAGUCCAAAGCCAGGGAAGUCAAGGAUCGAGGGAGGCAGUCAGAGUCCAGAGGGAGAUCCGGGGAUAAGUGAGACGCACAGCUCACUUUCAAGGUGAAGGAGGGCAGGUGUGCUGAUUGCUGGUGAAUGAUUACAGCUGGCGGCUGCAGCAGGACGGAGACGCGCACGGCGCGUCUCAGGAUGUGCGCGGCCGUUGCGUGUCCCAAGGUGUGACACACAGAGCGCAAUGAUGAGGACGCAUUCCAAUGCGCCCUGGCCGUGACAACAUUCUAGACAUAUUGCUUCUGAUGUUGUGGGAAAACAUGUUCAAUACUUAGGACUAAAUACCAUCUUACCUGAAUCUUUCCUCUCCGCCUGGGGUGAAGCUUUACCCAGCUACAACUAACCACCUGUAUUGGCACUAUACUACUAAAUGUAUCUGUUUUUUCUUCUGGCAAGCAUACUUUUGGCAGGUCUAAAUGUAAUCCCUAUAUUCUCUUCAAAUGUCUGGUGGGAAAAAAAGCAAUGUAAUGAAAAUAUCGUAACAUCUGCCAUCCUCAGAGUGUGACAGAAUCAGGUUGAGAAGACAAAGGGAAUAAAGCAAUGUCUUUUUAGUAGGGUUCAGUAGGCUUUCAUAACACAGAAUCAUAUGUGCAGGCCUGAUGCUAAACCCAUUAGAUAUAUUACUACAUCCCCUGGAAAGAUAAUGAGAUUACCAUUCUUUUGUUAUUUAUUUCAAAUUUUUUACAAAAAAUGAAAAAAACAUGCUGUCCAGUUGAUAAUUUUUUGGCCCCAUAAUGCAUAAAGCAAAUAAUAAUUACAACAACUCUCAACCUAACCUCUCAACCUAACUUCAAGUACGAGGACUUCUCAGACAUUGUGUUGCAUUGUUCUUCAUGUAUAUGUCAUAAAUUCCCUGCUAUUCCCGAUUAUCUUGUUGCUCAUUCCUCUGUCUCUGUGGUAUUGUUAAAGCAAGCAAAGUGUUUAUGAGCGAUAAGAGGCAGAGGAGGUCGCAAGUCCAAUAACUUGCUUUAUCAGCCCAAUGUUCUUGCAGCAAAGGCCAUUUUACGGGCAAAUUUGCUGAAGACAAAUUCUUAAUUAGUGAAGUUUGUGAAGCAACUAUCAGGGGUCUGAUAAGGAAAUACUUGUCUUGCUAUGUUACACUGCGUGAUAGACUGAUGGAUAGAUAGACGGACGGACAGAUAAAUAGAUAGCAAAUAGUAGAAUGGUAUCUGAGUAUAGAUCUGCAGAAUCCAAACUAAAUUUAGCCAAUCUUUUAACAAUGGAGCAGUCAUCAAGAAGUUCAGAAGGUAAUCAUUGUGCCUCCCUCCUCCAUGCUGUAACAUCCCAAUUAGCCACCAUUCACUUAAUUUUGAUAGGGGCUUCUUUUGGGCUUUGCUUGAUUAUUUCUCUCUCCAGCACUCAUCAGGGCCCCAUCAGUUAUAGACAAGAUGACCUUUUAAUUGAUGUUUAACCUUUGUAAUACUGCAUUUAUAUUGAAAAUUGCUUGCUUGUCUUUGCAACACAAAAAAAAAGGCACAUUAUGACGCUUAGCGAAGACUGCGGCUCAGGAAGCCAAUGAGAGUGUUUUCAAUCUGGUGUGUGGUUGGAUAAUGAAGAAAAAAGUAUUAGGGAAUCAUCUCAUAAUGACUCCGAAGGGAGGAAUUAAUUGCUGUACAUGCAACAAACUUCAGCGGCAUCGUGAUGAGCAACUGUUGCCCACAUUCUGACAAUUGGCACUAAUGACUUGUGGAAAUUAGUGCUUGUUAUUGUUCAGAUUGUGUAUUAGGAGCAAUCAACAUUUAGUCAGUCAUUUCUUCGUAUCUACCUCCAACUGGGGAGAAAAGGGUAUGUGUGUCUGUCACUGAAUCACCUGCCUGUGUAAGUGCAUCUGUUGUGUUGGGGAGUGUACAUUCACAUAUUGUA
Molecule: long non-coding RNA, 2047 nt
Organism: Entelurus aequoreus (snake pipefish)
Lineage: Eukaryota; Metazoa; Chordata; Actinopteri; Syngnathiformes; Syngnathidae
Exons: 4
Source: RefSeq, a predicted model, not a curated record